RNAcentral lists this ribosomal RNA (779 nucleotides) under Escherichia coli. Its description in RNAcentral is "bacterial SSU rRNA". It matches the Rfam family "Bacterial small subunit ribosomal RNA", at positions 1 to 766 of the family's 1533-position model. The record is from RNAcentral. Lineage: Bacteria; Pseudomonadati; Pseudomonadota; Gammaproteobacteria; Enterobacterales; Enterobacteriaceae.
UUAAAUUGAAGAGUUUGAUCAUGGCUCAGAUUGAACGCUGGCGGCAGGCCUAACACAUGCAAGUCGAACGGUAACAGGAAGCAGCUUGCUGCUUCGCUGACGAGUGGCGGACGGGUGAGUAAUGUCUGGGAAACUGCCUGAUGGAGGGGGAUAACUACUGGAAACGGUAGCUAAUACCGCAUAACGUCGCAAGACCAAAGGGGGGGGACCUUCGGGCCUCUUGCCAUCGGAUGUGCCCAGAUGGGAUUAGCUUGUUGGUGGGGUAACGGCUCACCAAGGCGACGAUCCCUAGCUGGUCUGAGAGGAUGACCAGCCACACUGGAACUGAGACACGGUCCAGACUCCUACGGGAGGCAGCAGUGGGGAAUAUUGCACAAUGGGCGCAAGCCUGAUGCAGCCAUGCCGCGUGUAUGAAGAAGGCCUUCGGGUUGUAAAGUACUUUCAGCGGGGAGGAAGGGAGUAAAGUUAAUACCUUUGCUCAUUGACGUUACCCGCAGAAGAAGCACCGGCUAACUCCGUGCCAGCAGCCGCGGUAAUACGGAGGGUGCAAGCGUUAAUCGGAAUUACUGGGCGUAAAGCGCACGCAGGCGGUUUGUUAAGUCAGAUGUGAAAUCCCCGGGCUCAACCUGGGAACUGCAUCUGAUACUGGCAAGCUUGAGUCUCGUAGAGGGGGGUAGAAUUCCAGGUGUAGCGGUGAAAUGCGUAGAGAUCUGGAGGAAUACCGGUGGCGAAGGCGGCCCCCUGGACGAAGACUGACGCUCAGGUGCGAAAGCGUGGGG